GGGGGAGGGGGGGGGGGGGCGUAGGGCGGGCAGGUCGAACGGAACGGCCGUGGUGUUGUGGGGGGCUCGAGGGGCGAACGGGGGAGGAAGACGUGAGUAACCUGCCCUUGACGUUGGGAUAACUUCAGGAACCUGGGGCUCAUACCGGAUAGGAGCUCCUGCUGCAUGGUGGGGGUUGGGAAGUUUCGGCGGUUGGGGAUGGACUCGCGGCUUAUCAGCUUGUUGGUGGGGUAGUGGCUUACCAAGGCGUUGACGGGUAGCCGGCCUGAGAGGGUUACCGGCCACAUUGGGACUGAGAUACGGCCCAGACUCCUACGGGAGGCAGCAGUGGGGAAUAUUGCACAAUGGGCGGAAGCCUGAUGCAGCAACGCCGCGUGCGGGAUGACGGCCUUCGGGUUGUAAACCGCUUUCGCCUGUGACGAAGCGUGAGUGACGGUAAUGGGUAAAGAAGCACCGGCUAACUACGUG
RNAcentral lists this ribosomal RNA (468 nucleotides) under uncultured bacterium. Its description in RNAcentral is "partial 16S ribosomal RNA". It matches the Rfam family "Bacterial small subunit ribosomal RNA", at positions 38 to 507 of the family's 1533-position model. The record is from RNAcentral.